GAUGAACGCUGGCGGCGUGCCUAACACAUGCAAGUCGAGCGAUCUCUUCGGAGAGAGCGGCGGACGGGUGAGUAACGCGUGGGUAACCUGCCCUGUACGCACGGAUAACAUACCGAAAGGUAUACUAAUACGGGAUAACAUACGAAAGUCGCAUGGCUUUUGUAUCAAAGCUCCGGCGGUACAGGAUGGACCCGCGUCUGAUUAGCUAGUUGGUAAGGUAAUGGCUUACCAAGGCAACGAUCAGUAGCCGACCUGAGAGGGUGAUCGGCCACACUGGAACUGAGACACGGUCCAGACUCCUACGGGAGGCAGCAGUGGGGAAUAUUGCACAAUGGGCGAAAGCCUGAUGCAGCAACGCCGCGUGAGCGAUGAAGGCCUUCGGGUCGUAAAGCUCUGUCCUCAAGGAAGAUAAUGACGGUACUUGAGGAGGAAGCCCCGGCUAACUACGUGCCAGCAGCCGCCGCCGUA
Molecule: ribosomal RNA, 468 nt
Filed under: uncultured bacterium
Lineage: Bacteria
Description: bacterial SSU rRNA
Rfam family: Bacterial small subunit ribosomal RNA
Source: RNAcentral